AGUUUGAUCAUGGCUCAAGAUUGAACGCUGGCGGGAUGCUUUACACAUGCAAGUCGAACGGCAGCACGGACUUCGGUCUGGUGGCGAGUGGCGAACGGGUGAGUAAUGUAUCGGAACGUGCUAGUAGCGGGGGAUAACUACGCGAAAGCGCUAAUACCGCAUACGCCCUUCGGAAAGCGGGGGACCUUCGGGCCUCGCACUAUUAGAAGCGGCCGAUAUCGGAUUAGCUAGUUGGUGGGGUAACGGCUCACCAAGGCGACGAUCCGUAGCUGGUUUGAGAGGACGACCAGCCACACUGGGACUGAGACACGGCCCAGACUCCUACGGGAGGCAGCAGUGGGGAAUUUUGGACAAUGGGGGAAACCUGAUCCAGCCAUCCCGCGUGUGCGAUGAAGGCCUUCGGGUUGUAAGCACUUUUGGCAGGAAAGAAACGGCACGGGAUAAUACCCCGUGCAACUGACUGACCACCUGCAGAAUAAGCGCCGGCCUAACUACGUGCCCGGCAGCAGCAUUAAUACGUAGGGUGCAAGCGUUAAUCAGGAAUUACUGGGCGUAAAGCGUGCGCAGGCGGUUCGGAAAGAAAGAUGUGAAAUCCCAGAGCUUAACUUUGGAACUGCAUUUUUAACUACGGCGAGCUAGAGUGUAUCAAGGAGGUGGAAUUCCGCGUGUAGCAGUGAAAUGCGUAGAAGAUAUGCGGAGGAACACCGAUAGCGAAGGCAGCCUCCUGGGAUAACACUGACGCUCAUGCACAGCAGUAGAGGGCAAGCAAGUUAGAUACCCUGGUAGUCCACGCCCUAAACGAUGUCAACUAGCUGUUGGGGCCUUCGGGCCUUGGUAGCGCAGCUAACGCGUGAAGUUGACCGCCUGGGAAAUACGGUCGCAAGAUUAAAACUCAAAGGAAUUGACGGGGACCCGCACAAGCGGUGGAUGAUGUGGAUUAAUUCGAUGCAACGCGAAAAACCUUGCCUACCCUUGACAUGUCUGGAAUCCCGAAGAGAUUUGGGAGUGCUCGCAAGAGAACCGGAACACAGGUGCUGCAUGGCUGGCUAUUCGUCAGCUCGUGUCGUGAGAUGUUGGGUUAAGUCCCGCAACAAGGCACCGCGCCGCCAAUCGGUAGUUGCUACGAAAGGGCACUCUAAUGAGACUGCCGGUGACAAACCGGAGGGGAAGGUGGGGAUGACGUCAAGUCCUCAUGGCCCUUAUGGGUAGGGCUUCACACGUCAUACAAUGGUCGGGACAGAGGGUCGCCAACCCGCGAGGGCCAAUCCCAGAAACCCGAUCGUAGUCCGGAUCGCAGUCUGCAACUCGACUGCGUGAAGUCGGAAUCGCUAGUAAUCGCGGAUCAGCAUGUCGCGGUGAAUACGUUCCCGGGUCUUGUACACACCGCCCGUCACACCAUGGGAGUGGGUUUUACCAGAAGUAGUUAGCCUAACCGUAAGGAGGGCGAUUACCACGGUGGGAUUCAUGACUGGGGUGAUCGUAACAAAGGUAA
Molecule: ribosomal RNA, 1492 nt
Filed under: uncultured Bordetella sp.
Lineage: Bacteria; Pseudomonadati; Pseudomonadota; Betaproteobacteria; Burkholderiales; Alcaligenaceae
Description: partial 16S-23S ribosomal RNA intergenic spacer
Rfam family: Bacterial small subunit ribosomal RNA
Source: RNAcentral